CUGCUGUGGGUGUUUCUCUGGCAGUGUCUUAGCUGGUUGUUGUGAGGAGUGAGAACGAAGCAAUCAGCAAGUAUACUGCCGCAGAAAUUCUUCGC
Molecule: microRNA precursor, 95 nt
Organism: Poecilia formosa (Amazon molly)
Lineage: Eukaryota; Metazoa; Chordata; Actinopteri; Cyprinodontiformes; Poeciliidae
Source: Ensembl